Molecule: ribosomal RNA, 427 nt
Filed under: uncultured bacterium
Lineage: Bacteria
Description: partial 16S ribosomal RNA
Rfam family: Bacterial small subunit ribosomal RNA
Source: RNAcentral
GUGGGGAAUAUUGGGCAAUGGGGGAAACCCUGACCCAGCGACGCCGCGUGAGGGAAGACGGCCUUCGGGUUGUAAACCUCUUUUGUACGGGAAGAAGGAAGUGACGGUACUGUACGAAUAAGUCCCGGCUAACUACGUGCCAGCAGCCGCGGUAAUACGUAGGGGACGAGCGUUGUCCGGAAUUACUGGGCGUAAAGGGCGCGCAGGCUGUGCUGCAAGUCAGCUGUGAAAUGUCUGGGCUUAACCCGGGCAUGCGGUUGAGACUGCAGUGCUGGAGUGCUGUAGAGGCAAGUGGAAUUCCCAGUGUAGCGGUGAAAUGCGUAGAUAUUGGGAAGAACACCGGUGGCGAAGGCGACUUGCUGGGCAGCAACUGACGCUGAGGCGCGAAAGCCAGGGGAGCAAACGGGAUUAGAUACCCGAGUAGUCC